AUGGAGGGGUGUGUUGGAGGGGCAAAGCAGAGGGGGGUGGUGGAAGGGCAAAGAAGAGAAGAAGGGAGGGCUCUAAUGGAGGGGUGGUGGAGGGGGAGCAUUAGAACAAGCAAGGUGCAAGGAAAGGGGGAGAAAGGAAGGGGGAGAGGAAGAAGAAAGGGGGGGAAGGAGGGGAAAGGCGCCGAGCGCCUCCCGACCCCGCCUCCCUCGGCCCCGCGCCGCUGCGCCACCUCGCCUCCGCCCGCCGGUGCGCGUCGCAACCUCACCGGACCCCAGGAGCCCCGCCGCCUCGCGCUGUCACCUGCGUCGCGUCGUGCGCCGCCACCUCCCCACAAGCUCGUCGCCCCGUCGCGGAAGCCUCGUCGCUGGUCUCCUCGACCUCGAGAUUCGUCGCCGCCAUGGGAGCGGAGCAUCGAGCUCCUCUGCACCCCGCCCGCGUCCCCGCGUCGCCGCCGCCGCCCCACCCUGCCUCGCGCCCGGAUCCAGCCAUGGGAGGUCCGGCCACUCCGGAUCCGGCCUCCUCCUCGCUGGACCUUCUACCUCGGUACGGUGCUCCUCCAUGCAUACUUACUCUGUUUUUCUCGAGCCAUGGUCGCAGUCUGCUGCAUGCCAGGCAGAUGGACCUUGCUGAUGACGGAGGAGCGGCGGCGCGCCAUAUGGGCCAUCUACGGUAAUCUGAAACUCACCAUGCCUGGCUUGGACCCUCAAUUGUUGCUCCCCUAUUGUAGUAUUAUGUGGUGCAGGAGGACAGAUGAGCUCGUGGACGGUCCCAAUGCGUCGCACAUCACGCCGCAGGCUCUUGACCGGUGGGAGAGGAGGCUGGAGGACCUGUUCACCGGGCACCCCUAUGACAUGCUCGACGCCGCGCUCUCAGACACCAUCGCCAUGUUCCCCAUAGAUAUUCAGGUACCAGAUAGCCGGUGCAUAAUUGUUCAGUCCACAUUGUAUGAUUCUGGUAGAACAGAGUGGUGGUGGAUAUUCCCUGUCAGCAUCAGAUUCCCCCGGACCUCACAAUCUCAGUGCAAGAUGACUAGCUAG
This 1038-nucleotide ribosomal RNA is filed under the name Triticum aestivum (bread wheat). Its description in RNAcentral is "partial small subunit ribosomal RNA". The record is from RNAcentral. Lineage: Eukaryota; Viridiplantae; Streptophyta; Magnoliopsida; Poales; Poaceae.